Lytechinus variegatus (green sea urchin) is the source of this 444-nucleotide long non-coding RNA. RefSeq lists it as uncharacterized. NCBI's taxonomy places the organism in Eukaryota, Metazoa, Echinodermata, Echinoidea, Temnopleuroida, Toxopneustidae. The record is from RefSeq and is a predicted model, not a curated record. The transcript is spliced from 3 exons.
AACAUCUAUUUGGAUUUUGGAUCAGAUAUUGAUGAUGAGGUCAUUUUUCAAUCUAAUUCCUUGGCCUGGGGAUGUGUUGAUGUUGUUUCCUGUAUUCCUAUUGGUAAUGGACAUUUAUACACAGCAAUACGGUUCACAUCGACGGGUAUGAUUGAGUUCUCCAACCAAGCAUGCUCACAAAAUAGAUCUAUGAUUCAAUACACAAAUCCUUCGCUCUUCAUGACCACUGAUGACGCAGCCAUUGCAGUUCUGGGAGCUCCAGUCGACCUCAGCAUUGGUGAUCCAAAAAUAUUUUAUCAGUAUCAAGACAGUAGCAGCGGAGGAUCAUUUAUUUCUGACUUGAUGAGCAGAUUAAGCAUGAUAGAUUCUGAACUGAAUGACACCAAUCCAAUAGUAGCGCUGAAGAUCACAUGGGUUGGGAUCCAGCCACCAGGAUCAUUAGGA